AGUGAACGCUGGCGGUAGGCCUAACACAUGCAAGUCGAACGGCAGCACAGUAAGAGCUUGCUCUUACGGGUGGCGAGUGGCGGACGGGUGAGGAAUACAUCGGAAUCUACUUUUUCGUGGGGGAUAACGUAGGGAAACUUACGCUAAUACCGCAUACGACCUACGGGUGAAAGCAGGGGAUCUUCGGACCUUGCGCGAUUGAAUGAGCCGAUGUCGGAUUAGCUAGUUGGCGGGGUAAAGGCCCACCAAGGCGACGAUCCGUAGCUGGUCUGAGAGGAUGAUCAGCCACACUGGAACUGAGACACGGUCCAGGCUCCUACGGGAGGCAGCAGUGGGGAAUAUUGGACAAUGGGCGCAAGCCUGAUCCAGCCAUACCGCGUGGGUGAAGAAGGCCUUCGGGUUGUAAAGCCCUUUUGUUGGGAAAGAAAAGCAGCAGGUUAAUACCCCGCUGUUCCGACGGUACCCAAAGAAUAAGCACCGGCUAACUUCGUG
This 492-nucleotide ribosomal RNA is filed under the name uncultured bacterium. RNAcentral describes it as "partial 16S ribosomal RNA". It matches the Rfam family "Bacterial small subunit ribosomal RNA", at positions 29 to 507 of the family's 1533-position model. The record is from RNAcentral.